This 2131-nucleotide ribosomal RNA is filed under the name Escherichia coli. RNAcentral's name for it is "partial 23S ribosomal RNA". It matches the Rfam family "Bacterial large subunit ribosomal RNA", at positions 1 to 2157 of the family's 2925-position model. Lineage: Bacteria; Pseudomonadati; Pseudomonadota; Gammaproteobacteria; Enterobacterales; Enterobacteriaceae. The record is from RNAcentral.
GGUUAAGCGACUAAGCGUACACGGUGGAUGCCCUGGCAGUCAGAGGCGAUGAAGGACGUGCUAAUCUGCGAUAAGCGUCGGUAAGGUGAUAUGAACCGUUAUAACCGGCGAUUUCCGAAUGGGGAAACCCAGUGUGUUUCGACACACUAUCAUUAACUGAAUCCAUAGGUUAAUGAGGCGAACCGGGGGAACUGAAACAUCUAAGUACCCCGAGGAAAAGAAAUCAACCGAGAUUCCCCCAGUAGCGGCGAGCGAACGGGGAGGAGCCCAGAGUCUGAAUCAGUGUGUGUGUUAGUGGAAGCGUCUGGAAAGGCGCGCGAUACAGGGUGACAGCCCCGUACACAAAAAUGCACAUACUGUGAGCUCGAUGAGUAGGGCGGGACACGUGGUAUCCUGUCUGAAUAUGGGGGGACCAUCCUCCAAGGCUAAAUACUCCUGACUGACCGAUAGUGAACCAGUACCGUGAGGGAAAGGCGAAAAGAACCCCGGCGAGGGGAGUGAAAAAGAACCUGAAACCGUGUACGUACAAGCAGUGGGAGCCUCUUUUAUGGGGUGACUGCGUACCUUUUGUAUAAUGGGUCAGCGACUUAUAUUCUGUAGCAAGGUUAACCGAAUAGGGGAGCCGAAGGGAAACCGAGUCUUAACUGGGCGUUAAGUUGCAGGGUAUAGACCCGAAACCCGGUGAUCUAGCCAUGGGCAGGUUGAAGGUUGGGUAACACUAACUGGAGGACCGAACCGACUAAUGUUGAAAAAUUAGCGGAUGACUUGUGGCUGGGGGUGAAAGGCCAAUCAAACCGGGAGAUAGCUGGUUCUCCCCGAAAGCUAUUUAGGUAGCGCCUCGUGAAUUCAUCUCCGGGGGUAGAGCACUGUUUCGGCAAGGGGGUCAUCCCGACUUACCAACCCGAUGCAAACUGCGAAUACCGGAGAAUGUUAUCACGGGAGACACACGGCGGGUGCUAACGUCCGUCGUGAAGAGGGAAACAACCCAGACCGCCAGCUAAGGUCCCAAAGUCAUGGUUAAGUGGGAAACGAUGUGGGAAGGCCCAGACAGCCAGGAUGUUGGCUUAGAAGCAGCCAUCAUUUAAAGAAAGCGUAAUAGCUCACUGGUCGAGUCGGCCUGCGCGGAAGAUGUAACGGGGCUAAACCAUGCACCGAAGCUGCGGCAGCGACGCUUAUGCGUUGUUGGGUAGGGGAGCGUUCUGUAAGCCUGUGAAGGUGUGCUGUGAGGCAUGCUGGAGGUAUCAGAAGUGCGAAUGCUGACAUAAGUAACGAUAAAGCGGGUGAAAAGCCCGCUCGCCGGAAGACCAAGGGUUCCUGUCCAACGUUAAUCGGGGCAGGGUGAGUCGACCCCUAAGGCGAGGCCGAAAGGCGUAGUCGAUGGGAAACAGGUUAAUAUUCCUGUACUUGGUGUUACUGCGAAGGGGGGACGGAGAAGGCUAUGUUGGCCGGGCGACGGUUGUCCCGGUUUAAGCGUGUAGGCUGGUUUUCCAGGCAAAUCCGGAAAAUCAAGGCUGAGGCGUGAUGACGAGGCACUACGGUGCUGAAGCAACAAAUGCCCUGCUUCCAGGAAAAGCCUCUAAGCAUCAGGUAACAUCAAAUCGUACCCCAAACCGACACAGGUGGUCAGGUAGAGAAUACCAAGGCGCUUGAGAGAACUCGGGUGAAGGAACUAGGCAAAAUGGUGCCGUAACUUCGGGAGAAGGCACGCUGAUAUGUAGGUGAAGUCCCUUGCGGAUGGAGCUGAAAUCAGUCGAAGAUACCAGCUGGCUGCAACUGUUUAUUAAAAACACAGCACUGUGCAAACACGAAAGUGGACGUAUACGGUGUGACGCCUGCCCGGUGCCGGAAGGUUAAUUGAUGGGGUCAGCGCAAGCGAAGCUCUUGAUCGAAGCCCCGGUAAACGGCGGCCGUAACUAUAACGGUCCUAAGGUAGCGAAAUUCCUUGUCGGGUAAGUUCCGACCUGCACGAAUGGCGUAAUGAUGGCCAGGCUGUCUCCACCCGAGACUCAGUGAAAUUGAACUCGCUGUGAAGAUGCAGUGUACCCGCGGCAAGACGGAAAGACCCCGUGAACCUUUACUAUAGCUUGACACUGAACAUUGAGCCUUGAUGUGUAGGAUAGGUGGGAGGCUU